Molecule: ribosomal RNA, 459 nt
Filed under: uncultured bacterium
Lineage: Bacteria
Description: partial 16S ribosomal RNA
Rfam family: Bacterial small subunit ribosomal RNA
Source: RNAcentral
CCUACGGGAGGCAGCAGUGAGGAAUAUUGGUCAAUGGUCGGGAGACUGAACCAGCCAAGCCGCGUGAGGGAUGAAGGUACAGAGUAUCGUAAACCUCUUUUGUCAGGGAACAAAGGCGGGGACGUGUCCCCGGAUGAGUGUACCUGAAGAGAAAGCAUCGGCUAACUCCGUGCCAGCAGCCGCGGUAAUACGGGGGAUGCUAGCGUUAUCAGGAUUUAUUGGUGUUAAAGGGUGCGCAGGCGGUCUGUUAAGUCAGCGGUGAAAGCCCGGGGCUCAACCCCGGCCCGCCGUUGAAACUGGCAGUCUCGAGUUGGAGAGAGGUAUGCGGAAUGCGCGGUGUAGCGGUGAAAUGCAUAGAUAUCGCGCAGAACUCCGAUUGCGAAGGCAGCAUGCUGGCUCCACACUGACGCUGAGGCACGAAAGCGUGGGUAUCGAACAGGAUUAGAUACCCGAGUAGUC